AUUGAACGCUGGCGGCAUGCCUUACACAUGCAAGUCGAACGGUAACGGGCCUUCGGGUGCCGACGAGUGGCGAACGGGUGAGUAAUACAUCGGAACGUGCCCGAUCGUGGGGGAUAACGAGGCGAAAGCUUUGCUAAUACCGCAUACGAUCUACGGAUGAAAGCAGGGGACCGCAAGGCCUUGCGCGGACGGAGCGGCCGAUGGCAGAUUAGGUAGUUGGUGGGAUAAAAGCUUACCAAGCCGACGAUCUGUAGCUGGUCUGAGAGGAUGAUCAGCCACACUGGGACUGAGACACGGCCCAGACUCCUACGGGAGGCAGCAGUGGGGAAUUUUGGACAAUGGGCGCAAGCCUGAUCCAGCCAUGCCGCGUGCAGGAUGAAGGCCUUCGGGUUGUAAGCUGCUUUUGUACGGAACGAAAAGCCUUCUUUUAAUACAGGAGGGUCAUGACGGUACCGGAAGAAUAAGCACCGGCUAACUACGUG
This 482-nucleotide ribosomal RNA is filed under the name uncultured bacterium. Its description in RNAcentral is "partial 16S ribosomal RNA". It matches the Rfam family "Bacterial small subunit ribosomal RNA", at positions 30 to 507 of the family's 1533-position model. The record is from RNAcentral.